RNAcentral lists this long non-coding RNA (1877 nucleotides) under Zonotrichia albicollis (white-throated sparrow). RNAcentral's name for it is "lncRNA (ENSZALG00000002002.1)". The record is from RNAcentral. Lineage: Eukaryota; Metazoa; Chordata; Aves; Passeriformes; Passerellidae.
AACAAGAAAAAUCCUCCUGGCAAGCUUCACGCAGCGAUAUCGAGUUUUUGGAUUGCAGCAAAGAGCCUGAGCAGCCCUGAGGAGAAGAGCCUGGUGCUUGUGACCAGUUGUUCACCCUUGCCUUGGCUCAGGCCACGUUUUGCAGCCCGGUUUCUGUGUUUUGAUAAACUGAAAUGCUUUUGGUUGCCCUGAAAACCGGAGUUUUUCUUGGAUUUUUUUUUUCUUCCCCCCCCCCUCCCACCGCCACCCAGUUUUUCAGUUUUCCUGAUGGGGAGUUUCAAUUUCAAAGUAUUUUUGGCUUUUCCAGUUUUGGAAAGCUCCUGAGUUUUGGAGUUUAGCCAAAUCCCUGUGAAAAAUUAAAGAAAGGAGAAGCAAAAAGAGAGAGGAACCAUUUUUCUUUUCUCUCCACGUUUUUCACAGGAAAUACUUCACGUUUUUGAUGAACUCUGCUUUUCUGCUUUGCCAGUUCACAGCCUGAGCUGUAGGAAUUAAAGGGAAAGGCACUGUAAGUGCACACUCUGACCUGGCAGGGAAUUUAAAACACCUUGAAUUUCACUGGGGCUUUGGCAGGCUCAUUUCUAACAAUUAUAAUAAUUUAUCAUUAGGCAAGGACAAAGCAGCCUGGGACUGCUCAUCCCUUCCCAUCCCUUCCAUUCCUUCCCAUCCCUGCUUGUUUCUUCCCAUCCUUGCUCAUCCAUUCCCAUCCCUGCUUGUUCCUUUCCAUCCCUGUCCAUUCCUUCCAUUCCUGCUCAUCCAUUCCCAUCCCUGUCCAUUCCUUCCCAUUCCUUUCUACCCCCUGCUCAUCCCAUUCCCGUCCCUGCUCAUUCCUUCCCAUCCCAAAAUCUCAUUCCUUUCAAAGCCUGUUCAUCCCUUCCCAUCCCUUCCCAUUCCUGUCCAUCCCUUCCCAUCCCUUUCUAUCCCUUUCCACCCCUGCUCAUCCAUUCCCAUCCCUGGUCAUCCCUUUCCAUCCCUGCUCAUUCCUUCCCAUCCCAAAAUCUCAUUCCUUUCAAAGCCUGUUCAUCCCUUCCCAUCCCUGCUUGUUCCUUCCCAUCCUUUUCCAUCCCUUCCCAUCCCUUCCAUCCCUUUCCAUCCCUGCUCAUUCCUUUUUAUCCAUUUCCAUCCUUUUCCAUCCCUUCCCAUCCCUUCCCAUCCCUUCCCAUCCCUGUCCAUCCCUGCUCAUCCUUUUCCAUCCCUCCCAUCCCUCCCAGCCCUGCCCACUCCCCUGGCAGCUGCAGCCCUGCUGUGUUUUGCAGGAUGAGGAUGAUGAUGGGCUGCCCAAGAAGAAGUGGCCGACAGUGGACGCCUCCUACUACGGAGGGCGAGGAGUGGGCGGCAUCAAGCGGAUGGAGGAGCGCUGGGGUUUGGGGACACCCCGAUGGGGAGGGGACGCAUUUCAGGAACUGCUCUGAGCAGGAAAAUGGCCCAGCUGAGCUAAAGCUCCCUCUGGGCUGGUGAAGGAGAGGGGUGGGAGGGUCUGAGAGCUCCAUCCAUGCCAGGGUGCUGGGACAGGGUAGGACAGGAGGGUCUGAGAGGUCCCAGCUGUGCCUUGGGGGUACCAGGGGUAGGACAGGGGGGUCUGUGGGGGUCCAUCCCAUGCCAUGGUGGUGGGACAGGGUGGUCUGUGAGCUCCAUGGUGGUACCAGGGGUGGCAUGGCAAGGUCUAUGGGGUCCCAGCCAUACCAGGGUGGUCUGUGAGCUCCAUGGUGGUGGUCAGGGCUGGGACAGUGUGGUCUUUGAGCUCCAUCCCAUGCCAGGGUGAUGGGACAGAGGGGUCUGUGGGGUCCCAGCCAUGCCAUGAUGGUACCAAGAAUGGGACAGGGUGGUCUGUGAGCUCCAUGGGGGUGGGACAGGGUGGUCUGUUGGGUCCAUCCCACGCC